CUGUAUUUUAGAAGUCCUUUUUGCUACCGCUGCACUAACUUCCUCAUUAACAUUCAGAUUUUCAAUCUGUCUUUUGCAUGUUCUCUCACACAGAUUGUUACCCAAGAGGAUUGAUCAGAGACGUUGAGAUAAAGAGUGAAGAUCUUGGGAAGUAAUGAAUUUAGCUAUUACUGAACACUAGAUCAAUACAGCAACGUCUAAGCAAUCUUAUCUCCUGUAAGUCAUCACUGCAAGAAAGCGUCUGCAAUGGCAGAUGCCAGAACAACAGUGGCCUCUUUCAUCAAGAAUUUUGCCAAAGGACUUGUACAAAACCCAUAUUUUGGCUCUCUAUACUAGAUGGCUCGGCUGGCUGGAAUGAAAGUGAAGAUGACAGACAGGAUUUUGGUCUCUGGAGAGAGAAGAUCUCACUGUAAGACUGGAUGUUGCACGAUCUCCACCACUAAGGACAAGGUUUUAGCAUAUUUGUCCUGAGAAUGCCUGGAAACCAACAUGAAGGAAUAACCAAAUGUUCCCAGAAUCUACUAAUCCUGUCUAUGCCUUCAUCACCAACCUCAAUCACAGAGCACACCCAACAAAGCACAAAGAAGAAAAAAUAAAGGAAGCAUUCUUUAACUGCUUGCACAUAUUUUUCAUAUAAACUAUUGCUCUGAUCCAUCUAUAGCACCAAAGAAAUGGCUUUGUUCUUCCACUCAUAAAAGAAACAUUGUCUCAGAGUUUAUCUGAAUUUAUGAGCCAUAGAUAUCACAGCCUUUCAGAAGAGAAACCAUUGAUGUCACAUGCAGUGAUGACGUCACAGAAAAUAUCUCUGCCUUCUGUUGUUGGGGAGAUGUACAUCCAGCUGCUCUCCUGAGUGAUCUGCAGUGAAGAUAAGUUUAGGAACUUAUCCCCAAGUUGUUUUGGAGAAGUUCAGUUCCAGAAAACCUUUUUUAACUGAGGUCUUGAAUAUGAUGUUUGUUUCAUUUGGGUUUUUCUUAAACAGAAAAGUGUGGGUCACUGGAAGACAAGACAUAACCUGCUGAGAUGAAACCAAAUGUUCUGCAGACGAAUAUGUACAUAUAUAUAUAUAUAUAUAUUAAACAAACAAACAGGAUAUCAGACCUUUUUUGUUAUCUCCUGAUCUUUUGUUGAGAACUGAACUAUGGGCACACUAAGGCAAAAGAACCAUCUGUCAUAGUUGAGGCUCUGGUUUCGAAACAAAGUAAAUAUGAAAAUAAAAUCCUGCAGGGUUCAUACCAGACUUGAUCACAUUUCUACAGGCUUCAGAUGACUGAUUUCAGCAUUCUCUAAAAGCUGUACUAUUGGUGAAAAUUGCACCACAGGCAAUAAGGAAGAUCUAUGCUGCAUUUGCAAGUGAAAUGAAUGGGCACAAAGCAUGCUACACUUUUAUCUUUGCAAUUCAUCAUAUUAAAACUAAUGGCAGGUGUAAUUAUGUGAGCACCAAAAAUAAAUAAGUAAGCAAAUAAAUAAAUAGGUCUCAAAUUUUCCUAAGUGUUCUGCUUUUCCUAAGCAUAGUAAAUCUAUGGGUUGGAGAGGAGGUUGAAAUUGUCCUUACAGCUGAAGAUAUUUUGGGAAGAAAGUGCUAGUUAGGAAAACUGCUAAGUUUCCUUAUCAGUGCUAAGUUAUCUGUGUUAAGAUUCUCUUAUCACAGAGAGAAAGGAAGAAACAACAGAAAAGGAAGGAAGGAAGGCAGGAAAUACAUGACUUUACUGUCAGCAGUUUCUCAGUGUGUAAUAAUUUUUGACAGAAUAAGCCAUACCUCUCUAGUGUAUUCCAAAUUCAAUUUUGUUUUUUUACAAUUUGAGUCAACUGUAUUCCAGCUGCAAACAUUGUGACAAUAGCACGUUAUUUCCCAGACUGAGGCUGACUACUCCAUGCUACAUUAGUGAACAGAAUAAAGUCUUCCAAACAUCUCACUUAAAGCUGUAUCUUCUUGGUACUGGCUUUUGCACUCUGUUCACACUGAGUACAAAUUUAAACAGCAUAUCUUCCUGUAGUCAUUGGAGGUCCUGAAAUAGCAACUGCUAUGAGGGAUGGGCUCCCUUCCUUCAGAGAAAGGGAAACAAUAUCUUCGAAGUGGAAACACAAAUGUAAACAUUUCUUUUGUUGUAAAAGGACAAUUACUGUAACACCUACAUCAAAUGAAAAAAGUUAUGUCUUUUAAAAUUAAUUUUCUUUCCCUAUAACUAUGAUUAGAAGCUACAGAUUUGAAAAAAAUGCCAGUAAUCCUGCACUAGGAAAACUGGU
Molecule: long non-coding RNA, 2244 nt
Organism: Cyanistes caeruleus (blue tit)
Lineage: Eukaryota; Metazoa; Chordata; Aves; Passeriformes; Paridae
Source: RefSeq, a predicted model, not a curated record